GAGGGACGAGGCCACGGCGGCGACGGAGCGCCAGAGCUCCGGGAAGGAGACGCGGCGCCCCGUGGCGGCGUCGAUGAGCGCGGUGGUCCCCGAGUGGCGCCGCGACGUGAGGAACGUGGUCACGUCGAGGUCGGGCUCCGCGGGGAGCGCCACGGGCCGUCGCUUGCUAUAGAAGGUCGCGUUCGCCGCGCAGAACCCACUGCGCGGAUCCACCUCCCAUUCCGAUCCCUUCUUCUUCUCCGGGUACGCCAUGAUCCUCUCUCCUCUAUCUCUCUCCUCUAUCUCUCUCCCUCUUUCCUACUUAAUUUAUCUCACCCAUUACUGUGCGUUUUAUAUAUAUACAAUGCUAGGCGAAUGAAUCUAGAAGAUAAGCUACCUAUCUCUCAAACAAAAAAAAAAAGAAAAAAAAGAAUUUAGAAGGUAAGCAAUAAAUGUGAAUCAGUUGGGGGGCAGGGGAACUAACUUGAUAAUGGACGCAGGUACGAGAAGAAGCAAAACUUCUCAGGGUCCACUUUUAGCUUUCUUUCUAAAAAUAAUAGCUGCACGUUAAACAUAAAUAUAAUAGAGCGGAGUUACUGUAUUAUCAAAAAUGUAAAGUAUUUGCUGCUUUCAAUUUUUUUAUCCUUAGAUUAAUUUUUUUAAUUAUUUCUAACAUUUAAAUUAACAUUAUUACUCUAUAAAAACUACUCAACUCUAGAUGACCAUUCAACUCAGAUAGAGAAAACCGCAGUCAUCCUAAUCGUUCAAUUUUAAUUCAAAGUUAAAAAAUCAGAAACGCCAAAUUUUCUAUACUUUCGGCAGUAUGGUAGCUCUAUAAAUAAAUUUUAAAAUUUUUAAGUUUAUGCCAGCACAAUCAUCAAAUAAUAAGACACCAAAAUACCUUACUACUACUUAUUUAAAUAUAGUAGUUCAGUUCUAUUUAGGCCCAUCUUUGUUAGUAGGAAACUGCAUGCUCAAGAUUAAUAUGUUGAUAAUUUUAUAUAAUAUUUUAAGUUAUGAAUUAAUUAAAUUCUCGCUAAUAGCAGUUUUGAAGACCAGUGGGCAAAUGAUAAGAAAAGAAGGAAUUUUUAGUAUAUAAACUACGAUGUAAAAUUUUUAAUGUAAUUAAAUUACGCACACACCUUAAUAUCAAUAAAUACAAUAACAACACAUAAAAAAGACAAUAUUUCAAAAAAUCUAUGGAAAAUGCUAGUUGUUCACUUAAAAAUAAGAUGUAAAUUUUAUACCCAUUAAUCUAAAAAAUUAGAAUUUAUUACAAAAUUUUAAUAUUAAAAAAUUGGGUAAGCUAAGAUUGAAAAUAUUAAACUUUAAAAGAAUAAAAUAUAUAAUUUAUAUAAUAUAAAAAAAAAUUUAUUCAUUUAGUUUUAUUGCGUCUCGGUCUCUCACCAACGCCCUUGCUCGUAACAUGCGCCUCGGUCUCUCACCAACGCCCUUGCUCGGCUCCGUACGGAAGAGCCCACAACGGCUUGGCUUAAUUGAAGCUUUUAUUAAAUAUACGUGGCCUUUUGGCUACAUGUACUUUUACAUAUCUAUCCAUCUGUCUUUCUAUCUAUCCAACAAUCUAUGUACAUAUAUUAAUGGAUAAUACCGUCACAUCAAGAAAAACGGCUCCUUAACGAACCGCGUUAGUACCGACUGUCCCUAUAGGAAAUGAUAAAGAAUUUGGUAGUUGAUAUUCGAGAUCCCAAUUUCGAAUUCUAAUUAAUUCACAUUUUCAGCUAAAUUUAUUUCUAAAUAAAAUAAACGAAACGGAUAGUGCGGUACUUUUUUUUUAAGACAUGAGAGAAUAGUUAGCAUGUCAUGUGNAAAUAUUUAAAUAAAUUAUUAUACAAUAAAAAUUUAUCUUUCAUAUAUAUAUCUUAGAGUUGAUUUAUGAUGCACUCAAUAGAUCUAAUAAUUUUUUUUUUUUAAGAAAAGAACCGCGUUAGUCUUAUUAUUUAAGACAUGAGAGAAUAGUUAGCAUGUCAUGUGUUCAAAAAAAAAAAAUUAUUAGAUCUAUUGAGUGCAUCAUAAAUCAACUCUAAGAUAUAUAUAUGAAAGAUAAAUUUUUAUUGUAUAAUAAUUUAUUUAAAUAUUUUAUAUUAUAUUAUAUAUAUUAUGUUAUAUAUUAUUUUAUAGUAUUAAUUACUAAAUAUUUUAUUAAUUAUCUAACAUUCCGUACGGUGUAUAGAGUAUUAGUGUACACAAGGUGCAACGACGAUUUUUUCUCUGUUAUGAAAUUAUGAAUCCACCCUAUUUAACAUUUUCUACACCAAGUGUAUAUGUGUACGUGCACCGCAUACUUAAAAUAUUUUAAUAUAGAUUUAAAAAUAUAAUUCUUGAACGUAAUUUAAGUCAUUAGGCUUUGUAAAUAAGAUAUAUUUAAUUAAAUUUUGAGAUUGUAAUAUUAGUCAUUUAAUAUAAAUAGUGGUGUAUGAAUGGUUAAUAUGUACUAGACUUUACAUGUAAUAAUUUUUUUUCUCUCAUCAAUUUUAAGAAGAUAAAGAUCCUCUCAUCUAUUUGGCAAUUUAAAAUAAGUCUUUCAGUUUUAAAUUUUUAGUUCAAAAUUUUAUUUAUAAAAUAACUACCAAAUUGAUUAAAUUUGAUUGAAUUUUGAAAUAAAGUAUAAAAAUAAUUUAAUUCUAAAAACACUAAAAGAUAAGAAAAUAUUAAUUAAACAAAGGCUAACGUUGAGGAAGUAAUUUCAAUAUGACCGUAAUUUCAAUAUGACCUAUAAUUGAUGACACAAUAUAUUUUAAUUCUUAUGAAAAUAAAGUUUUAUUUUGAUAUAUGUAAUCUUUUAUAUUUCUUUAGAAAAGUUAUGUAUAAAAAUAUUUAAUUAAAAAAAUUAUCUUCAAAUAUUUUAUAAUUAAUAAUAUCAAAAAAUAUUUUUUAAUAAGAAAAACGUGUAUGAAUUUAUCAUUUUUUAUAUAUAUUCAAAAGAAAAGAAAUUGAACGUAAAAUUUUAGUGAAUGUUUAUAUAUACAGAAGCCCCACCUUAAGUCCUUAACUACAGUAAUCUAUUAUAUUAUUAUAAUUUGAAGUACUAUUUAUUUAUUUUACUUAGGUUAUUUAAAUGGUUAUAAAAAGAAAAGACCUACAACUAAGUGUCAACUAUUGUAAAAUUUUAUUGAAUGAUUAAAUAUAGAGAGGCCUAUUUUAGUUAUAGUGUAAUAAUCUAUCAUCAUUUUAAGUACUAAACUCAAUAAUAAUUUACUAUAACAGCAUCUUCUCACUGUAUUGCGCAGGUCUUUUAACUAUAUAUAUAUAUAUAUAUAUAUAUAUAUAUAUAUAUAUAUAUAUAUAUAUAUAGAGUUUGGUUACUAUACUUUUAUGAAUACGAUCGCCCUCGUACUCAUAAGUUAUUUUCAAUGAUAGAGCUUCCGAAUCGACGAUCCAUACCGUUAAAUAUUAUCUAGAGUAUAUAAAACUUUUAGAAAUCAAUUUCAUAAUUUUUCGACAUCAUUUACCUUAUGAUCAAAAGCUCACAAAAUUGACAAUUUUUAACGGCCGGUAUAGAAUACUUGAUAGUUUAAUGGUGUGAGAGAAUUGGAAUAGGUUGAACUUUUGAUAGAAAAUUCUAUCACUACCUCGAUAAAGAUCAAUAACUCCGAUCUUAAAUUGAAGGAUCCGAUUUCCAUUUUUAAAACGUCGUUCAAUUUUCACCGUUCAUUUUAUACUCAUUUGAUGGACUUUAUUAUGUUUUCGAAAAAUUAUGAAAUUUAUUUUUUAAAAGCUUCAAAUAUUCUAGAUCAUAUUUAACGGAGUGAAUCGUCGAUUCGGAAGCCCCAUCAUCGAAAACAACUUAUGAGUACGAAGGGCCUACUACUCAUAAGAGUAUAGUAGCCCUACUAUAUAUAUAUAUAUAUAUAUAUAUAUAUAUAAAGAGAGAGAGAAAGAAGUAUGCUAAUGCUAAAAUGCUACUAAUAGCACCAAUGACUUGAUGCUAUAAGGUUUUCGGCUCUUAUAUUAAGAGAUGUAUGGUUAUGAUGAUAGUAAUUUUAUAGGGUUGAGUGAGUAGUUAGUCGAAUAAUAUGAUUUAGUAGAUGAAAAUGAUUAAAGGGAUAGAUUUAACGGCAAAAAAUUGAAUAGCACCAAAUAUUCGAUACUAUUAAUAGUAUCCCGACCCCCAUAUAUAUAUAUAGAGAGAGAGAGAGAGAGAGAGAGAGAGAGAGAGAGAGAGAGAGAGAGAGAGAGAGAGAGAAUAGGAGUUUCUAUACUUCUAUAAAGUACUAAAUCAUUGAUUAUUUCAAGUUUUCAGCCCUUGGCAUUUAUAAAAUUUAUAGGAAACCUUUUGCGAUUGUUCCUACUUUAUAAAAGAUUUAGGAAUAAAAGUAUUAAAAGAUUGGGAUUUUGAUAUUAAGGCAUGGGAAUAAAAAUCUGAAUCCAAUGGCAUAUAAAGAAGAUUCAGUUGUUAUGAAAGAUUUUGGAGACGGCAAGCACAAAAUUAACCUUAUUAGUUUAGGACCAGCGCUUGGUGGUUGUUAAUUUUUAUUUCAAUAUUCAAAAUUAUACUUGAUAAAAUCUUUCAAAAAUUUUGACUUAUCCCCUAAAUUAGAAAAGUACGUUAGAUAUUACAUGGUACGUAUAAUGAUACAAAACAUCUUCAAAAGUUUUAUACACAUCAUAUAUCAAAAACAUCUAUUACACAUAUGAAAUAUAAUUCUUCACUUCUAGUCUUUGUUCGAUUCGCCGGUUUCACCAAAACUGCAAAUAAAAUCAAAUAAUUUCAAAUAUAAUUUGUCAAAUAUUUGGAUAGAAAAUUGAUACAAUUAAUAAGAAAUCAAUCUCUACUAUUAAAUUACCAAAGAUGUUGCCUCUUGUUAUGUAAAAUUUCGGCCAAAUUGUCAAAAGACUGCAUAGAACUGUUGAAAAGAUUAUUUAACAAUUUUGAAGCUAAAAGAGAAGACAUAAAUUAACCAAACACAGCUCUUUUAAAUGAACAUCAGUAGCAAGAAAAAGAUAAUAAUGCAACAUGGAGUAGUGAAGAAAAGAUAAUGAUGCAACAAUACUAUUAACAUUAUAAAAAGAUCUAAAUGAAAUACACGAAUCCUAGACCAAGUGGCAAAAGACUUAGUGGUUGGUACCCGAUACCCAAGUUCGAAUCCUAGCUGACUCGCAUUUCUAGCUAAAUUUAUUUCUAAAUGAAAUAAACGAAGCAGGUAGCGUGCUACCUAUCUCUCAAAAAAAACAAACAAAAAAAAAACAUUAUAAAAAGAUCUCAAAUAACUCUCAUUGCCAAUCCAAAGUAAGACCACAUUCAGUGUCACACUAAUGGUGCAUUAUCCCAUCUAUUGGAAUAAUUGCAACCAAGUAGAGUCACGAAUCAGUAUUCAAGCGCAGUCAAAUUGUCGCGUCCUCCACAAACGAACAAUGAGAAAGCAACAAUCUGUCCAUAUUGGUGGAGAACUUAAAAAAAUUCUCAUAACAGAUCAGAAGCAAGACCAACCGAUCCUCUUACUGAUUUUUAGAAACAGCCUCUUGCUGAUGAAGGAAAACAGAGAACAGAUAAGGAGAACUUGCUGGUUUUUAGAAACAUCCUCUUACUGAUGUAAAGAAGCAUGGCUAACCAAUCCUGGCUCAAGGGUCAUAGAUAAUAACCAUAAACUCACAGAAACCCCAGUUAGUACAGAUAGCAAGUUAAAAAUAGCCAGUCAGCAAAAUACCUAAGAAAUUUUCAUCAGGGUUCCUAUAUGUAAAAUAGAGAAGCAAGCAAGUAGCAUCGAGAAGCACCACACAAGAAACCUCGAAUAAUGCUUGAAUAAGAUGCCUCCACAAGAUACAGAUCUAAAAAAUUUCAAAAGAAUAGUAAACAAAGAACAGAAAAGGAGAUAAUCUAGAAAUAGCUGAAGAGAUAUAGGGAGCAAGCAUAAACUUAUAUAGAGCAGCAAAAUAGACUGAAGAAAAAAGCAUUACUGUGGAUUGGUCAAAGGAUCUCAGGAGUUUCCCAGCUAGACUCUAUCAAAAAGUGAUCUGAUUCUUAUGUUUGCAGCCGAUGAAACAUUAGCAGGCAAAACAAGACCGACAUUUGAAGCAAGAUUGACAUCCAAUUGCAGAUAACACAUAAAAAGAUCAUAGAUAAUUCUCAUCAUUGAUCCAACGCAAGGCCAACCUUCAUCUGCAGUCUAAUACCUUGCUGAGCGUAUUCAUCAUUGAUCCGAAGCAAAACAGGAUUAAAGUGCAGUCUUUUACUUUCGAAAAAUGGAUCCUCAGCAGAUGGUCACAUGAAGCAGACAGUAAGAACAAAUUAUGCUGUGUUCUUGGCAACAGUCACAAAGCAAGUAGAGUGAAGAAGCUGUAUUCACAAAGCAAGGGCAUGGGCGAAGCCACGGCGAGCGGAAGAAGGAGAAGGAAGGUGGGAAGGGAGAGCUAGGGUUAGAGGCCUGCAGAAAAUACAGGCAUAGGUCGAUAGGUCUGCAGGAGGAAUAAGAGGGUAGGCGAAAGGACAUGUAACGAAAAGGGUGCGCGAAAGGCUGCGAUAGAGGGCUAUGCUUAUAGACCUGUAGGAAAUAAUGACUUCCAAAAAGAUAAGUCUAUAGGACUGCAAGAGGAAUUAGAAUGUAGGUUUAGAUCUAUAGGUCUAUAGCAGAAUAGUAGAGGGAAAAGAGAAAGAGUAAGGUUCAUCUAUUUAGAAGACGACAAGUGGAACAAGCUAACAGCCGAUUUAUAUAUUUGUCUUGAUUAUCAAAGCCUUAUAACAUAGGCAUUCCCAACUGAACCAAUUCGCUUGAACUUGACACCGCUCUUGCAUUUUGGACUCAAAUUAAAAUCAACAUUAUUACCGCAUAAAAUAUAGUCACACAAUAAACAUAUGUAAGGAAGAUGAAAGCAUAUGAAUAGCUCGUGAUAAUAUUAAGAUCAGAACUAGACUUAGCCUUCAACUUAUUGCUUCAAUUCUACAUUUACAAGUACAGCUUGAUACAUCUACAGACUACAAUGACAACCACAUUGGUGAGCCUGCGCAACUUUAAAACAUACACUGUAAAAUACAAAUCUGCGGUCAUCAACUUUUUGUUUACGGGCACAUUAUCUCCAUUGUAAGCUGAUCAUCAUAUUCACGAUAAUUAGGUCCAGAAAUCAAAACAUCUUUGCUCACUCUUGCUUGCAGUAUCUCAUUUUCGGUCAAGCUUGAGCAGAGACUACCAGGAGAGAGUUUGAAUUGGUCCCCCGCUUCACAAAACGGAUUCACACAUGACCUUUUGAACUAUCAUACAAAAGCUACGUACAGUACCUUUUCCUUGUAUAUAGCAGCAACUUAUUCAAGUAGAUAUAGCUCAUUACUGCAUAAAAUAUAGGCAUUCCAAGCUGAACCAAUUCGCGUGAACUUGACACCGCUCUAGCAUUUUGGACUCUUAAAUAAUUUCAACAUUGUUACCGCAUAAAAUACAGUCAUAUAAUAAACAUAUUUAAGGAAGAUGAAAAGCAUAUGAAUAGCUUGCAAUAAUGGUAAGAUCAGAAUUAAACUUAUUUUUCAGCUUAUUGCUUCAAUUCUACAUUUAGGAGUACAGCUUGAUACACCUACAGACUACAAUCACAUCCAUGUUCGUGAGACCGCCCAACUUUAAAACAUACACUAUAAAUUACACAUCUGCGAUCAUCAGCUUUUGUUUACUGGCGCAUUAUCUCCAUCAAAAACUGGUCAUUUUAUUCGGGACAAUUAGAUCUAGAAUCAAAACAUCUUUGCUUACUCUUGCUCGCAGUAUCUCAUUUUCGGUCAAGCUUGAGCAGAGACUAUCAGGAGAGAGUUUAUUGGCCCCCCGCUUCACAAAACGGAUCCACACAUGGCCUUUUGAACUAGCAUACAAAGAGCUACCAGGUACAGUACCUUUUCCUUGUACGUAGCAGCAAAUUAUUCAAGUAGAAAUAGCCCACAAAAGGGUAUUAGAGUACCAGAUUAGAGUUUGGAGGCAGUGGCGAGCUUGAUGAGAUCUUUUCUCAGAAUCUUCCCCGAUGCGUUCUUCGGAAUGUCCGAUACAAAGGCCACUUUUCGAAUCUUCUUGUAAGGCGCCACCUAUAAUUAUUUAACACAGAAAUCAGAAUACUACAUACUAAAAUGAUGAAUGGACCAUAACGUUAUGUUCAUCAAACUGCAAAAGCGAACCGAAAAUAAUGGUUUUCAUCUAAUUUGUUUUUAUUUUUGUGGAAAUCGCUUCAACUUGGGCGUGAAAAAAAGUAAACACAAAUGGUUCUGUCUAGCUUUGGUUUCUAAGCAACUGAUUGUUAAAUACAAACUGUUAAAAUAUUGUUCAUGAAUAGCUUAAAUUUUUAGAGAAAAAGAUGACAAUGCAUAGCAGCAAAGAUCUACAAACCUGGAUUUACCAGUGAGGUAAGUGCACAUCAUAGCAUACAUCUAUAACACAUUCUACUUAUCACUUGAUAACAUUAGGUACAUUGAAAUCGAGAUUUACCUGUUUUUCCACAAACUUCAUCACCUCACUCUCGGACAAUUGGCUCCCCUCCUUCCUCACCACGUACGCCAUCGGAACCUGCCCGGCCUCCCUAUCCGGGAACCUGCACCAAUUUCUCAACAAUUAAGAAAGCCAACACAGAUCGAAUCACACGGUUCAUAUUACUCCAACAUAUAGUAAGGCUCUGCAACUCCUUACGGUAUAACAGCAGCGUCAGCAACAUCGGGGUGAGUUAGUAACAAUGCCUCCAACUCUGCAGGAGGCACCUGUAACAAAGCAUUAUCAGCCACACAAUCAAAAUCAGACGAGUCUCGUUAGUCAUCAGUACUGCAUAUUCUAACUGGACCGCCAAAAUUACCUGAUAGCCUUUGUACUUGAUUAGCUCCUUGAGCCGAUCCACCACGAAGAGGUACCCAUCCUCGUCUAUGUAGCAGAGAUCCCCAGUUCUAAGCCACCCCUCCGAGUCCAAAGUCGAGCGCGUGGCCUCCUCGUUCUUGAAAUACCCUGCAACAUUGUCAUUUCAUAAAUAACAGAAUAACAAGUACAGAAUCUUUGUAAACCUGGUGUGUACGAAAUUUCUGCAUGCUAAGUAAUCUAGAUGUUUAGCAGAAGGCAUAGCGCAUUUAAAUCAUUAGGGUGACCGACCAUCAAAUUACAGCCAAUGAUUGCGCCUUUAUUUCAGCUAGACGGUCAGAUCAAUAGUGUGAAAAGCUUUAUACUCAUUGAAGCUAUUAUAGAGAAUCUGUGCGUGAGAAUAACUUCCAAUGACGAGACUGUUUAAUUAACGGUCUAUAUAUGUUGGUUUCAGAUUCAAAUGUUGUGCAUUCUGAGUUUAUUUUCACAUGGAAUUCCCCGUGGUAGACCAUCUAAUUAAUCGUGUAUAUUGCUUCAAUAUUCGAGUACUACAGGCGACAGAUGAUAUAUUAUACUGUCUCACAAGAGGGCUUUUAUACAAUUUUGUGGAAAAAUUCUUCAAACCCCUGACAGAUAAGAUGUCCAACAGAUGUUAAAAUAUUAACAAAAUUAUCUAAUAUUUUAAGUCUACGUAUAGCCAUUCAAAACUCUGGAAACUAUUUGUACCACACCAUAACAUUAAGAUCAACAUGUAAGUAUAACAUGUAAAAGAUAAACUAUGGGCUACAUCAACGUACCUGCCUAUUUAUGUGAUAUAUACAUUUACGGAUUGUACUCGCUACUCAUUUACAUACGAGUAUAGAGAUGAGCAAGGUAAGGUACCUUUCAUGACGUACGGCCCGCGGAUCCAGAGCUCGCCGGUGCGGUUGACGGGGAGGGGUUUCCCGGUGUCGGGAUCGACGAUCCGCGCCUCGGUGUUGGGCGACAGCAGCCCCGCCGUGCCGUACCUCCGGCUCUCCUCGGCCGAGUCGGUGGACGCGCCGAUCCCCGUGCUCUCCGUGAGCCCGUAACCCUGCAGUAUCUCGACCCCGGGGUACUUCUCCCUGAAGCCCUCGAUCACCUCCUUGCUCAGCGGCGCACCCCCGGACAGUAUCCUCCGCAGCCGCCCCAGCGGCAGCUUCCCCCUCCCGCUCCCGCUCCCCAACAUCGCCACCAGGAUCGGCGGCACCAGCGGGAGGUACGUCGCCCCGUAGGCCCCGAUCGCGCGCAGCAUCUCCCCGAUCUCGAACUUGGAGAGCACGACGAUGGUGGAUCCCGCCCCCAGAAGCCCCGUGGCGAACGCGGCGAGGCCGUAGACGUGGAACAUCGGGACCGUGCAGAUGAAGGUCUCCGGCUCGCCGCCCCCCGAGGAUUCGUCGAGGUUGAACCGGUUGACGAUGAUCUGGACCAUGGAGAUGAGGUUGCGGUGGGUGGCGACCACCCCCUUGCUCGCCCCCGUCGUCCCCGAGGAGUAGAGCAGCGUCGCGGGGUCGUCCUGGCGCACGGGCUCGCGCAUCGGGUGGGGAAUGGGGUCGGGGUCGGGAUGGGCGGCGAUCAUGUCGGCGAUGGUGCAGAGGAUCCGGGGAUCGUCGUCGUCGGCGAGGCGGGAGUCGUCGAGGAGGACGAUGGGGAGGUCGGGGCGCGGGGGGAGCUUGGGGACGAGGGCGCGCGGGGCGAAGGCGACGGCGGGGGCGGCGUCGGCGACCUGCUUGGCGAUCUCGGCGGGGGUGUUGAGGGGGUUGGUGGUGGUGAGCACGGCGCCGAGGGACAUGGCGGCGAGGGCGACGACGGGGAAGCGGAUGGAGUUGGGGGAGAGGAGGAGGACGACGCGGCCCUUGCGGAGGGAGAGGGGCGGGGCGCGGAGGGACGAGGCCACGGCGGCGACGGAGCGCCAGAGCUCCGGGAAGGAGACGCGGCGCCCCGUGGCGGCGUCGAUGAGCGCGGUGGUCCCCGAGUGGCGCCGCGACGCGAGGAACGUGGUCACGUCGAGGUCGGCCUCCGCGGGGAGCGCCACGGGCCGCCGCUUGCUGUAGAAGGUCGCGUUCGCCGCGCAGAACCCACUGCGCGGAUCCACCUCCCUUUCCGAUCCCUUCUUCUUCUCCGGGUACGCCAUGAUCCUCUCCCCUCUCUCUCUCUCUCUCUCUCUCUCUCUUUCUCUUCCUACAAUUUCUCUCUACUAAUUGCUAUGUUUUUCUCAUACAAUGCUAGACUAGUAGUAGUAGUAGAAGAUGAAUGAGGACGAGUUUAGAAGAUAUUUUAGAGUGGGUAAUAAAAGCAAUAUAUGCGAAUGGGUUGGGGGUAGACUGUAGAGGGGGUGACUAAUUAAGAUAAUGGGAGCUGGUGGUAUAAGGGAAAGCAAUACUUUUUGCGGGCCACUGCUAACUUUCUUUGUCAAAGGAUAGUCGCAGAUUAAGCAUUGAUCUAAAAAUAUAUAUAAAUAUAUAUAAAAAUGGACUACUAAACUAUAAGAAGAGUUUUAGAUUCAUGCUGGCACAAUUAUUAAAUAGUAAAUUCUAGACAUUCAAAAAAUACAAAAGUCUAUGGUAAAUAUUAUUGCACUAAUAUUUAAUGCCAUAGUAGCUCAGUUCUAUUUAUAUCCCGUCUCUGUCCUUUGAGUUGAUAUGUUGGUAACUCUUUGUAAUGUUUUAAAUUAUGAAUUUAAAUAAAUUCUCUCUAAUAGCAUUUUAGAAGAGCAAUAGGCCACAGCAGUAUUAUUAUUAUUAUUAUUUUUUUCGAGAGAUAGAUAACACGCUACCCGCUUCGUUUAUUUUAUUUAGAAAUAAAUUUAGCUAGAAAUAUGAAUCAACUAGGAUUCGAAUUUAGGUCUCGAAUAUCAACCACCAACUUCUUUACCACUUGUUUUAGGGACGGUCGGUGCCAUAGCAGUAUUAUUACAUAUGAGUUCUGCUCACUGUAAAAGUGUAAAUGGGGCAGCCUACUCAAGAAAGAGUAAAACUAGUGCUAGUGAGAAAAAGAAGAAGGGAACGUCGGAUUUCCUCUCAGUAAACAUUGCAGGUUUUAAAUCAUUAAUACAUAUGAUGUAAAAGUUUUAAUGUUUUAAUUAAAUUAAGCACACAGCUUAGUAUCAAUACUUUAAUAACAUAGAAAAUGACAAUAUUUCAAAAAAUCUAUGAGAAAAUGCUCGUUUUUUAUUUAAAAAUAAAGUGUGAAUUUUAUACUUAUUAAUCUAAACUUUUAGAUUUUAUUUAAAAUUUUUAAUAUUAAAAAACUGAUAAGCUAAAUAUGAAAAUAUUAAACUUCAAAAGAAUAAAAUAUAAAAUUUAUAUAUUUAUGUUUUUGGUUGUACAGAAAAUAGUUUUUUUUUUCUUUUACAGAAUAAAGCUCGUAAGCAAUUCAUUUAUUAAAAUAUAGCGUUUGAUUAUAAAUGAAUAAUUUUGGAGAAGCAAAUAAAAACACAUUUUCACAUAAAAAAAAAAGAGAAAGAAAAAAAAACCUUCAAAAUUGAAGGGGAAAAAUGAAAGUGGCCGUCCUCAAAGUAUACAUUUACUAGAAAAGUGAACCAAGAUUUCAAAUUUUAAGUAUGUGACGGAAAUAAAAAAAAUAAAAUAAAAAAUAAUAAUUAUUCAGAUCGCGAUCUCGAACCGACUCCUCACUUUGAAUCAUAUCAGAAUAUUUUUUUUUCUUUUUUGAAUUCAUCAAGUUUCCAAGGAUGUACGUGAAAGCGACAAUACCCAGUGAAUACCAGAAGAAAAACAUGUUUCAAGUACAAACAGAAAAAAGAAAAGAAAAAAUAUAUAUAUUUUAUAACCCCUCAUUCAAACUUCCAUAGUGAGUCUUUGUCGUGUCAACUUUUUUUAAUGCUAAAAAUUUGAAAAAAGUUCAAAUUUUAGAGUGAAGGAGUGUAUCUGUGUGUCAACGCACUCCCAUUUAUACUAAAGGAUUUUAAAAUAUUAAUUUUUUAUCUUACAAAUUUAUUAAAGAUUUAUAUUUUUUAGAAUAAAAAAAAUAUUAUAUCAUACAAAUUUUGCAUUGAUAAAUGACCUGAGAUCAUUUUUUUGAAAGAUAAGUAACACGCUACCCGCUUCGUUUAUUUCAUUUAGAAAUAAAUUUAAUUAUAAAUAUAAAUCAACUAGAAUUCGAAUUUGAGUUUCGGAUACCAACUAUUAAAUUUUUUUGCCACUUGUGCGAUCGGUAUUAUCUCUACUAUCAUUAAAAUCACUUUCCGAGAAGCACUCUCAUUUGAAUGGGUGGUACUGCGCGGACAAAAAUUCUAUGGGCAGCGUUUAGCGCCUCCAAAGUGGACGGCACCGUUGUUCAGAAGCACGUGUAAAACACUUCACAUGUUAACCUUUUCUUAGAAAACCCAUGGGGCCCAAAAUUUAUCAUAAAAUUUCGUGUUACUACUAAUAUAAUAAUAUCCCUCAAACUCUAUAUGAAAUUACAUUUUUCUUUUUUUCCCUUUUCCUGUUUCUGAACGGUGCAAAAUAUAAAUUGUUCUUUUGUUCUUGUGAAUGCUUAAAACCAACAGGUUUUGACUAUUAACUCUGAUGGGCAUUUCACGGUAAAAUAGGCCUACACCAUGCUGAAUGACAGUGGUACGAUGGAUGAUCAUUCUUGCAAAAUUUGCAAUCUUCGUAUUCCCCUGAAAGUCAAAGUAUUCUCCUGGCUCGUUCUGAAGAAAAGGAUCCCUACUGUAGAUAAUCUUCUAAGGAGAGAAUGGACCGGAGACUUGACUUGUGUGCUGCGCAGAUCUGAAGAGAAAACCGUUGAUCAUCUGAUUGCACAGUGAGUUUUUGCCAAGUUCCUCUUGGUGACUAGUGUCGGGGAUAUCCAGCUUGAGGAUUUAGAAAACGAUAUUACCUCCGCAUGGGACAGGUGGACGAACAAAAAUAAACUGCAGUCAAUGACCAACAAGCUAUCGACUUUCAUAGCCUACUGGUGGGUCAUUUCUUUCGGAACACCCGCCCGGACUCCGUACUAGCUGCUCGCAAGUUGAAAUCCGUGACGAAACUUUGGGAACUUCUCCGGCUUGUAAAUCAGACCCACCACUCCUAGUUUUUUUUUUU
RNAcentral lists this long non-coding RNA (13807 nucleotides) under Ananas comosus (pineapple). RNAcentral describes it as "long non-coding RNA (ACOM_LNC014136)". Lineage: Eukaryota; Viridiplantae; Streptophyta; Magnoliopsida; Poales; Bromeliaceae. The record is from RNAcentral.